Vespula vulgaris is the source of this 10969-nucleotide long non-coding RNA. RefSeq lists it as uncharacterized. The transcript is spliced from 4 exons. The record is from RefSeq and is a predicted model, not a curated record. Lineage: Eukaryota; Metazoa; Arthropoda; Insecta; Hymenoptera; Vespidae.
CUCUUUACUAUAUAGGUAGUAUUAACGUUAUGUGUUUUAUAAUGUAGUGGCUAAGCUUUUACAAGAUAUUAUAAUGUUCGUAUUACUGAAAUGUAUUAGUAAUAUAUAUUUAUAUAUGUAUAUUAAAGUACAUGAUUAGUGAAAAAAGAUGUGUGAGCAAAUAAUUAUGAUUCCAUAUAAAGUAGAUUCCCGUUUCAACUCUAACUUAAUUCAGUAUACAAAACGAGAUGUCGCCUAUUCAUAACAAUGUUCGAGAAAACUUGAAGUCACGAUUCAUAGUUUCGUUUUAUAAGUUCAGGAUGGCAUAGAAGGAACAGCAGGAACGUUAAAUUUAUUCGUGUCGAGCUUCUGGGAGGAUUGACUUUUCUACGUUCAGAAAAACAUUUCGUAGUUCUUUAUUUCCUAUUUCUUCUAAUGUAUUUGCAGUUAUUUAACUAGAUGACUGUCCUAUAAGAAGAGGAACAGUAAUCUUCGAGUCUAUCAGUUUUCCUGAUCUAUUGGCGCGAGAUGUCCAAAAUAUAGCAUUUUAGACACUUCAUUGGUCACUCUUAUUGUCGUCAAGACUAUUUCGCAUGUGCUGACAAGUUGCCACGAAAAUUUUUCGUCCUUGUAAUUGCAGAUUAUUAUUGUGUAAUCAUUUGUGCAGCCAUGAAUGGGUUAGUCGUUGUUGUAAAAAAUUGGUCUGUAUGUAAAAUAGAAAAAGAAUCGUGAAGUAAACUGUUUUUCUGUUAAUUUGCAUUUGUUUGCGUUUUGCGAUUUCAAUUAAUUUUUAGGAAUAUGUUAAUUAGAUUGCGUGCAAAGCAGUCAUAGAGUCAGUAUUUGUUUGUAAAAAGUUUUAUUUAUCUAUCUCUUAUAAUCAUAUAAAUUCUUUUCAAAUAUAAAACAAACGAUAGAUAUUUGUGAAUUCACUUUAUCGUCCGUCUCUUAAUUACUAAAUUAUCGCGUAUUAGAGUCAGUGCAUCAUAACCUUCUUGAUCAAGAAUCAUUCCUAUAGGAGAAUAAUAAUCAUCAAUUUACUACAACUUCCACCUAUUUUAUUUUCAAUCUAUCUAAUAUAAAUCUACUUCAUUGGUGAUCUAUUGCGAAUUAAUCUUUAAUUUCGACCUAUGACAAGGAUGAGUGUUUUGGACCCAUCGCAGGUCUUCUUAAUCAGUGAGUGAAAAAAUUUAAGCUUUUCCAGUGCUGAUCAUGGCGAGGAUGAAUGAUCUGAUUCAUGGUAAUUUUUUUAAUAAAUUAUUGACGAACGUGAUUUUUAGUAAUUCUUUUUUCGGAUUUCUUCAAGAAUAAUAUAUUUUUAAUCGCGUUUAAACUGUUUUUUUUUUCUUUUUUUUAUGCAUGUCAAUUUUUAUUAGUUCAGGAUAGCAUUUUCUUGUUUCAUUGGUUCAAAUUGUUUAAUUAAUAAUGCAAUUUAUUAACACCUGUUUUGUUUGUAUUUUCUUGCGAUAUUAAUGAUGAAAUUGGACAUUAAUUCACUGGAUAUUGUUUAAAAAAAUAGUUAUAUAAUAUAUAUUACACUCAUUAUUUUGUAUUUAAUCUAUUUACUUGCGAUCUAGAUUCCAGAUAUCGAGAUAUCAAAAAAAAAUAAGCAAGAAAAUAAACACGACGGGUAGAUUCUGAAAAUCACGUGGCGAAUUAUAAUUUAAUUCUUUUAUUACAAUAGCCAUUUGUGUGGAGUCGUUCGAGAUUUGUUAAGUAUUUUUGAAUGAAAUAUUAAUUAAAUAUUCAAUCAAUUUUAUUGAUGAAAGAAGAAUCUUAAUAGAGCCAUUGCCUAAACAAAAAAAAUCGAAUAAAAAUAAUUGCUAUAAAACAAAGAGACUUGUAGAAUCAUAAUCCGUAAACUAAGUUAAUCCAUUUUUUAUUUAGGAUUUUUUGGAAUUAAUAUAUUCAUAUGUGUAACAAACAGUUAGUUUGUUCUAAUAAUUUUAGGAAUUGUUAUUGUAUUAGUGAUUUUACAUAUCGCACCCAAUGCGUGCGUAUAUUUUAGAUGAUGAAUUGUACAUUAUUACGUGAAAUUUUUCAUCGCUUAUAUACAUGGAAAACACAUUUCAUUAUUUUGAGUAUCGAAUUAACUAAGUGAUAAUGAAUAAAAACAAAUAUUCCUAUAUUAUUAAUCGAGUGCGUACGAUUGUGUAGAAUUAUUUUUUUAGAUUUAACAAAUUUAUUGCGUCGGUUGUUUUGAGAAUUUUUAUUUGUUGAUACGAGAUGAAUAGCCAUUAUCAUGUUAAUAAUAGAUCGUAUUGAAUUUUUUGAUGGUAUGAGGCAACAGUGUUCCGUAGAAAUUUCUACUGAAUGGCUAUAUUGUACUUUCUUAUUUAGCUGUAUAGGAUUACCGUAAAUAUCGUACAUCUAUUCUGAGUUUUAAAAGAUUCAUGGAAGAUAGUGAACAGUGUAAUAAAGUGUAUGAUAUUUAUUUCAAUCUGAUAAUAAGAUACAUAUUUUUUUUAAAGGUUAUUUGAUCGCUCAUGGUAGGAUUAGGUAUACAUGAAAUGUCGGUAGGUUUAGCGUUAAAGGAGAAUUAAAGAAAAGUAAGAAAUAAACACCAAUAAAAAUAAUAUGAAGUGAUCUUAAAUAAUAAUACAAAACUUUUUCUUUUUUAUUAUGAUUAUUUGUUUGAUUAAUAUAAUGAAUUAGAGAUUGGUGCAUUUUUUUGAAGCAUGGUAUGCAGUAUGUUAGUUUUCCACUGUAUUUUUCACAGAAGGUUGUGACUUUUUUGCAUAUUUUAUUAUCUAUUGCUCAUAUUUUUUCUUAAUUCUUGAUAACAUCCUUCAUACAUUCUUUUUGUGCUACUUACACCAUUGUUUUUAGCUAAUGAAUGGAUUCGCUCCUUUCGUUUAAUUUUCUCUUUUCAGUUUUCUUUCUGUUUCAACCUUGUUUUCCUGAUAGAUACUGGUAAACCUUUUCUAUCAGGUCUUAAUGUCCCACAAAUUUUAGUUUUAUUUUUAAUGUAUUGUUUAAAUAGCAAACUUUUUUUCCACCUUCAUUCCUUUCCUCAUUCAAUUCCACUAACACAAGUGCAUUCAGAUAUCAAGUGUUCCUGAGAAUUGUUUAUUAUUGGUUGCGUGAAGGGCCUUAUCUUAUACAAUCUAUCUUUGCUAUAAUCAAUCAUAUUAUCCGUGAAAUGCAAAUACUUUAACAAAAGUAAAAAUGUAUCUCUUAGGAUAAUUUUUGAUAUAAAUUCGUUAUGGAACAAAGAUUUUUUUAUUUACAACAUUUACUUACUAUUAUUCUUUUAUGGAAGUGAUUCUUGAUGCAUAUCUUGAUGUACUGAUAAUGCAUUAACUAUGCGUACCGAUCUAAACGUACCGAUGUCUCAUAUAUUUCUACCACAGCGGGUGAAAUGAUCUAUCUUCAAAAAGUCAUAUAUUUUACGAUGUAUAUAUUGUAAAAAAUAUACCAUUUAUUACAAUUUGGUGUAUAAAUAAAAUAAUUUUAUCCAAAUAACGAUUGUAAAGAACAUCUGCAGAGGCCAUCUUCGAAAUUUUGAUUUCAUAGAGUAUUUUGUCCCCAUUUGGUUCGCCAUGUUUACAUUUAAUUUAGUGCUAUUAUAGAAUCUGAUCGUUUUAGAUAUACACUUAAUACUCUUUUCAGUUUUUAUAGAUUUACGUUUUGAGCUUAGUAGAAGUACUUUUUUAUUUAGCUUUUUACUUUUAUAAAUUGCAUGAAUCGAUUUAUACAAUUUUGUUGAGCCUAUAUGUAUGACGUACUAUCUUGCGCCUGCGUUGGACAAUUCCAACGAUAGUAGUUUUUUUAUCUAGUAAUUUUGCAACUAAUAAUAUGCUCGUAAAAAAAUUAUCAGUGAUGACGAUCUUUUCCAUAUCACGUAGACGGUUCGAUUAGUUUAAGCUUUUUUAGUUCUAAUUCCUCCAAGCAGAACUGAAGAUUUUCUGUUUUCAUUUUUUCUCAAAUAUGAAAAUCCAUUUAUAAUAUAUUUAGUGCUGACGAGAGAUGCUAGUCUUAUUUUUAGUCUAAACUUAUUUAGUUUGUUAGACGUAUAUUGUUGCACGUAAAUUUACACCUCGUUUUGAUUGAGAAAAGUUGUUCACCGAUAAUCACAUGUGCAUCAGGCUUGUAACAAUGAUAGCUAUUCUGAAUGAAUUUGUACCAUACUUCAAAAAAAAGAUUGGAGAUUUCAUUUUUUGUUCCAUACAUAUGAAAUAUUCAUAUUUUUUGCACCACGUGCAUAUAAAAGAAUAAUAAAAGUGUCGAAGUUUGCAACAAUGAGAUUCAAGUUAGUUCCUAAUAUUCAAAAUGCCUUUGCUUGUUUUUUUCAACAUUUUUGGUAUAAAAGUUAUCAACUCAAUAAAGAAAUAAGAAUUUUUAACUGACAAAAUAACUGUAACUUGGAAUGAUCAAGCUUUUUACUUAUACGUUUGCAAAAAAUGCUGUAUAAUCACCGAAAAAAGUUGCACAUAAAACUGAGAUUUCAUUAAAUCUAGAUGAUGGUUAAUGAGAUAGCAGCAGCUGUAGCUGCUAUGCAACUGAAGUGGACGCCGGAUGAUUAAAGCAGAUUUAUGCACGUCGGCGACGAUGGUAACAUUAUCAUGAUGAAAGCAAUACCCAAGAAAAUUGACAUGCAUUCGACAGCAGAAGAAGCGAUUAAGAGGAACCUUGGAUAGGUUCGGGUCCAAUCCGAUGAUCAAAAAACGGCAAAUAAGUGCUGAGGAUCAGACGAUGGCGAGAUGAGUAGAUGAGAAUUGAGGAUGACUUCAAUCUGGAAACAGCUAAAUUAUAAAAAUAAGGAAUUACGUGUUUUUCUAUAAAUUCUUAAGAUAUGGAAGCAUGUGAAAUUCGAUGAUCUCUAUUUCUUCAUUUGUCGAAGGAGAAUCGAAGUCGGAAGAAAAUAAACUAACGAUGUUAAAAAUACACAACUCUACUAGUUGACUGGAUUGUGAGUAUGCAUCAUUACAAACAAUUGUUUUGAAGGCACUUAAAAUUUUUUCCUAUUUUUCAAAAUGUAUAUGCCCCAUUUAUUUUUUUUGAACAGUGGAUAUAAUAAUGUGGCUAUUGUUGCGAUUUCCAAUUCAGAAAUAUUCAGAUUCAAGAAUAUUUCAAAUCUAUUGUUUUUGAAUGAGGCUGGCAAGCAUUCCGCUAAAGGCCUGUGAUAAAUUAAAAAUAUUUCUUCUAUAGUUAAUUUUUGCAAUUUCUUUUGAACAGCUACUAAAUAAGGCAACAAAAUUUUGUAGAAAGUAUUCUUAUUGUUUUGAAGAAUAUCCAAAGCUUCUUUUCGUAUUAAAAUAUGAUGACAUUGUAAGAGAAUUCUUGACUACAAUUUUGUUUGGAAGAUAUUUAAUACAUACAAAAACAACUUUUUUUGAUCCUAAACUACUUUUUUUGGGAAUAAAUUUGAAAAAUUUUCCAUCUAAGAAAAUUGAAAAACAAUAUUCUCCCUCCAUUUCUUCUCCUUCAUUCUUCAUGUAUGAUGAAUGAAUGAGACUUUUUCAUCAAAAACUGAAAGUGCAAUGCUGUCAAGUUGUUCAUGUUAUCAUUUUCUUGCACAUUAUAUAUCUUACAUUGAGAAAAGGAAAUAUACCGACGAAAAAAAGGAUAUGCAGUACAUACACAUACAUGGAAUAAGGAUAAACAUGAAAGAUAAUUUAAAUUAAUUUUUCAUAAUUUCAUAAUUCUAUUAAACUGCAUUCCAAAUAUAUCAAAUUUCAAUUAAAAUGUAAUUUAAUGAAAAGGAAAGUAUAAAUGAUUUAAUAUUAAAUCUAAAUAGUUUAAAGCAUUAUCGGCCUUUGGUUAAUAGAAUACUUUCAUAAGUGCACAAAUCUUUGUAUUAUUACUCUGCAAUAUCACUAUUGAAAUUACUAUUGAUAUUUUUGUUAAUGGAACAUCAUUUUUUAUACUGUUAUUAUUAAAAUGUAAUAUUUGCAAUAAUAUCAUAUAUCAAUCUUGUGCCAUUAUUUGCAGAAAAAUAUUGAUUUUUAUUAUUUCAUCAAUUGAUUCGUAUUAAUUUAGAGUCAGUUUAAUUUUUUAAUUUCAUAUAAUUGUGCGUCUUUUUUGAUGUGUGAAAUCAAAUCUUCUCAAUAGAAAAGUUUGGAAAUUUCGAGCAUUGAAAAGCAUUUAAUCUAUGGGUUCAGUUCUAAUCUAUGGGACAGUUAAAUUUUUUUCAUUAUGGUAUUUUAAUUAUUAAAUAUAUGCUUUAUGCUUUUGAAAUUAUUUCUCGAGCAUGACGAGUUUGAAAAUAUUUCAUUUAAAUCGAAAUUCUCUAUAUUUAGAUUUAAGUCUAAAACCUCCUCAUUGGUAGCAAUCCAGACGCAACCCAGUACUCUGUAUUUUUAAUUGGUGUACAUUUUUCCCUUUACACCUUAUCUUUAUUCAGUUAUUGAUGCUGUUCUCCAUAUCUUCGGAAUUAUAUGGCAAUUGAACAUUGCUUCUAAUUCUCUAUAACUGCAUUUCAAUCUGCAUUUCAUUGUUACAAUUCUCAUUCAAAUUAGAUAUUUUAUCUAAUGUACUAUCGCUUUUUGUAAUAAAUUCUUCCAAAAUACUGAUCAUUGUUAAGAAAUUAUAAUAAUAAAUAACAAAAUAAAAAUUACUUGCAUUGCAAACAUAAUAUGACGAUAUAUUGUUGUAUAUAUUAUAUAUAUAACGAUCAUACAUGUCGGUGGAGGGAGUGACUGUUUAAGAAACAGAAAGUAAAAAUCCAUCAUCAACAGAUUCUCGUUUUUUCCGUUGCUAUGUAACCAAGAAUGUGUCCAUCUUAAACAUUGACGAUUGUUGCGUAUCUAGGUUGAAAAAGAUAGAAAUACUUACCAUCUGUACAUAUGCGUUCAUAGGCCACACUGAUAAUCUUCAUUGGAUGCACAUGUGCAUCCAUAUUCCCAAAGCCUUCACCGGACGCAUAUAUGUAUGCAUCUAUAGCAGUCCAAGGAUUAAUAUGUUAACGUUAAUGAAUCUGCCUUUUCGUAUAAAAUGAUUUAUUCAAACUCGUUUCCACUUUUAUAAUACUUAUUUAUUGUCCGUCAGUAAUUAGAUUCCCUACCGUCAUAAAUUAUAAUUUUCUUUCUUGCGAUUGAAACACAACGCCUUCUUGUUCGAAUCGUACACACGAAUAAAUAAAUAUCAAAGAAUAUGAUUCAUAUAGUUCGACUAUCCUAAUACAUUUGGCUUUUGAACUUAUUUUUAUCUUUUCUUUCAAACUCAUACAUUACUUUCAUAUACACGUGCGUUUGAAAAGAUAUACUGUUCACACGCUUUUAUUACAUCUGAUAUGUUUUUAUUUUUACACCAGGGACACAUUUUUGUAGCACUUCUCGUUCCUGCAUACGAUCUAUUUGCAUCUAAAGAUGUAAUUAUGUUCCUGUCGUUACGCAGUAUUAUCACUGUUCCAUAUUAUCCUUUCAUACACGAGAUUAAUAUGUUUGAUACACUCAUCUUAUUUUUGAAGUUUCUAAUUGGCACAUAGUUACCUUCUUUAUAUUUGCGAGGUUUCUGAUGAUGCUUAUCGUAGUAUUUUCUCAUGGUAUUAUGAGAACAUUUUAUGUCUAAUCUGGUUUCUUCGUUAUUUAGAGGAUUCACUUUUUCGUUAUUCUGAUUUUUUCCAACGGAUGAUUCUCCCAAAGUUUGAAUGUUUUAUAACUUAACUUCUUUCAAAAUCAUUGAAUAAAUUAAAAAGAAUAUUAUUCUGUUUUAACCGUCGGAUAGUAUUCUAUCUUUGCUUACUUCGUGACUGACUAUCUUCAUGAAUUUAUAUGCGUGCAUUCGUCCUAAUAUAUUCCCGAGAUAUUUUGCAGAGAAAGCUAAACCAACCUACAAGAUCGGGAAAUAUUUAGGAUUAUAUCUUUGUUCUUGAGCUGUAGGAAAUUUAGAAUACGAUAACCUAGUUUUCGAUUUCUUUAAAGCAAUGCUUAUUUUAUAUAUUUUAUCCGACGAAGAGUAUAUAAAAUAGAGUAGUCGGGAAUUGGAUAAUUUUUAGACGAACAUUGCUCUGCUUUCGCUUCUUGUUUAUCAUUAAUAGGCUGUCUAAGUUUUCUCGUACUAACGUGGAAUUUCAGCUGUUCUCUCAUACCCUUGUAAUUGAGCUUUGAUUUCCAUCUUAGAAGAAUUAUAAGAUAGAUAGGAUAAAAAGGAAUCAUACUGGAAAUUCAUAUCUAGCAGUGUUCUUUAGCAUACAAGUAAUCAUCUAAACUAGAUAAUAUAUUCUUCUCGGAUUACUCGUAAAUAAAAUUAAUGAUUGACCAAUCUGUACGAGUACUUUUCUGUUGUUCGGUGAUUCUUUCAGGUAAUUUUAAACCACUGAAUUACCCAGGUGCUUAAGUUAUUCUUCACAAGAGUUCCUAUUAUAUGUAUAAAUUUGCUCUUGUCUUCACAUAUUUAUCAACAUGAUGUGCUCGUUUUAGUCAGACAAGAUGGAAGAAAAGUUUUUCCAUUACAGUUCCAUUUUUCUUACAACUACCAUUAAAGGUGCAGUGAAUAGUUUUUAUUAGUGGCCACUUCAGGUCACUUAGUCACAUUAGGUCACUUGUAAAUUGGUGGCAAAAAAAAUAUUGCAUUUAUUUCAUGGACUUGACGUAGGUGAUAUUAGUUAUGUGAAGAAGUCGAUUCAGAUCAAUUCAGUAUUCACAUUAUGUUCAAUGUCAAGAUGUUGAUCUACUAUCAAUAGGAGCUACUUUUAUUGAAAAGGAAUCAUAUAUUGAUAUAUAAAUAUAUAGAUCCAAAUAUUGAUAUAAAUGAUGUAAAAAAGUAUUUUGGUCGAUUUGUUUUUCAAUAAACUGAACGAUUGCUUUUUGAAUGUUCCCAUAAGAUUGGAUUACCACUGUUGAACUGUAUAAUCAAAACAUAUAAAGAUUAUUUUUUUAUUUGAUAAUCAAUGAAGAUCGAUCGAUCAAAUUUACUUGAUAAGCACAAAGUUACUUUGCUAUAACCAGAAAGUGAUAUUUGAUACAUUUCUUCAUUGAAACUAUAUGCUAAUUGACUUUUCUCAAGACUUUAGACUUAAAACCACAAAAACUCGUAUAAUUCAAACUUGUAAACUUUCAUAAAAUUAUUUUAUAAAAGUUGUUAUAUGAAAUAAAAAUAGAGACUCGAAAUACCAACAUAUAGUUCUAACAACAGUUCUUGUAAAGAUUCGUUGAAUAUAAUAGAACGGAAGAGAACCUGGACAAAUUCUUAUAGAAUUUAUUCUCUUCUGUAAUUUAAUAACUGUUAAAUCGUCCAAUUUUAUCCUAUAUUUUGGAUAUAGGUGUAUGUGAUUAUAUCAAUAUAAGGUAGAGUUGCAUUUAUAUUGUUAUUAUAUGCUAUUAUAUGAUUAUAUGAAAUUAAAACGACAGAAAUUUCAAUAGUUUAUUUUCAAAAAAAUUUUGUUAUUAAAAAUUUUUGAUUGUUGGAACGGAUCUGUCCAUACAUUAUGUUCUUCUACAUUAACUUUUGGAAUUUAUAAACUCUUUUUAUAUAACGCAAAUGAGAUGCAACCCAGACGCAAUGAUUUUCUGUUUGAUCUAAAAUGUGUACUCUUAGAACUGUCAUAGUCAUCUUAAAUAGCAUCUGAAAUCUCAUACAGUUGAGUGAUGAAUGAGUUUAUUAUCGAUUAUGAUUUUACGCUGUAUCAGAAUAUUCUAUAACUUCAGUCACCUUUGUUUUAAAUGUUUCCACGUAAGUUUCUUGAAAAUGAAGCAGUAUACGCGAGAUAACUGAACCAGAAGAUGAACUAAAAGCAUAGAACUCAAAAUGCUGUAAAGUUAUCCUUCUAAUAGGAGGGAUCUUGGAUUUAGCGUUAAAUAGCAAAAUUGUUCGAAGUGAAUCUACGUAGAUAAACAGUGAUAACAUAUCUGGAUUCAAAAAUGUCACCGAAGACGAUGAGAUGAAGUAAAUAGAUUAUGGAUAUAUGCAGAAACAGAAUAUUUUCAAGCUAUGAAGCUCUUCUGAAAGUUGAGCCUGAAAGGUCUAUGACUGGACCACUCGGGACGAUAAUUGCAACUUGCUAUUGUCAUAACCAAAUGCCAAACUAUUGUCAUAACGAGCUUGAAAAUUGAUUAGGAUGAGCGAUUUCAAAGAAUCAUUUGGCUAAAGAUUGAUGACUCGUUUGGUAAACUGUGAAGCUCCUAUAUGAACAGCAUAAAAGAAGCAAGCCGAAAUCGGUUUAUUAUCGAUACGCAACAUCUUGACGAUCGAAUCGCAAUCUAGCUGGAUGUCUUUAGAAGAAACAGCAUAUGAUGGUGAUCGAUAAUGUUAUGCCGAUGAUAAUGGAAAAUUAUCUAUAUCAUAUGAUAGUUAAUUUGCAGAAUUAGAAAUAUUUUUAUGUUAUGGGCUUUGUUACGCCUAUUUCUGCAUUUUUUGAAAAAUAUUCUUCUUUUCGUGUAUCUUAUUUUGAUGAUAAUGGAAAAUUAUCCAAGGUUUAAUAUCCAAGAGUAAUUUCGAACCCGUGAAGCAUAUAUUUGACAAUCAAUACAAGAUUUAGCUAAAUUACACAAGAAAUAUCUCAUAUUAGCAUAUCUCAAUAAAAAUUCAAGAGCUAUACCUUGCUAAUCGAGAUAUAUCAAUCGACAACUGCCAUGUUCUUUUAUUAUGCCAUAUCGAGUAUGUGCGUCCAUCAAAAGAAUGCAGUAUACUAGCAGAGAGUAUACUAGUAGAGACCAGUAGCAGAGCAGUAUACUAGUAGAGACGAUCCAAUAUGUCGCCCACCGGUAUGUUUAGCGGAUUUAUUAAAACAAAGGAAGAAAGGUCAUUGGAAAGCAGCGGAUACAGUUUGUAAAUGGGAUGAGGGAAGUUUUCUAACAUGGACGUUGGGAUGCAAGUGUUGAUCUGGGAGAACGUUAGCAAUAUGUCCCACAACUCACCUUGCAGCAUAGGGCAAAUUGAUCUCUUUAAUCCGCCCCAAGGUUCCUAGCGAGAUAACUGCGGCAGAUUGUUGCAGAGUAUAUAAAUACUCUAAUGAAAAUAGUUUGUGUCAUCAAAAAUGAUGAUGGAAGAUAGCUCGAGCCAGAAUAUCGUGUGCGGUGCAGAACAUAUUUGACACCCUCUCAAUGAAAAA